GAUGAAGAACGUAGCGAAAUGCGAUAAGUAAUGUGAAUUGCAGAAUUCAGUGAAUCAUCGAAUCUUUGAACGCACCUUGCGCCCUUUGGCUAUUCCGAAGGGCAUGCCUGUUUGAGUAUCAUGAACACCUCAACUCUCAUGGUUUGCCAUGAUGAGCUUGGACUUUGGGGGUCUUGCCGGCCUAUGGGUCGGCUCCUCUCAAAUUAAUCAGCUUGCCAGUGUUUGGUGGCAUCACAGGUGUGAUAACUAUCUACGCUUGUGGUUUUCCAUCAGGUAACCUUCAGUGAUGGAGGUUCGCUGGGGCUCAUAAAUGUCUCUCCUCAGUGAGGACAGCUUUUUUGAACGUUUGAUCUCAAAUCAGGUAGGACUACCCGCUGAACUUAAGCAUAUCAUAAGCGGAGGA
Molecule: unclassified non-coding RNA, 403 nt
Filed under: soil metagenome
Description: partial contains 5.8S ribosomal RNA, internal transcribed spacer 2, and large subunit ribosomal RNA
Rfam family: 5.8S ribosomal RNA (bases 1-121)
Source: RNAcentral